GACAAGGGAUUUCAUUAUUGAUAUAAAAAUACAGGGGCCAAAGCCCAAAUAUAUGGCCAGAAAACAUGUGUCUUCAGGUAAACAACAAUUAAAGCCCAACCAACAAAUUGAUUCCCAAUCCAUGACAAAAGAGAAAUCUAGUUCACCGGCCAAGCGAGAACACAGGAGGGAAGCAAUUGCAAGACUCGUCGUCGUUGCCCCUGAGAGUAAUCACCGGCUAAUCUGAAGAUUUCGAGAAAGGCAAAGGUCCUUGCGAGGAGAGCUUGUUCACAUAAACCACAAAAACAAUAAUCACAAUGACUAAUGGUGAACCCAAGUCGUGCUCUAUCACCUAGCAAUGUAAGCCAUGGAAGUACAAGGAAGGCAAAGCACUAAUAACAUUAAUGAAAAAUGGUUUUUUUUUUUUUAUCCCCCAACCCUAAGCACAUUUUUUUUAUUGUUGUUAAUAAAAACUCAAAUAAAAAUGUUUGUGAAACAAUACUAAUUGCAUACAAUAAAAUCAUUUUGUGAAACAUUACACCUCUUAAAGAACAAAAGGCAAGGAAUAACACUGAUUAUCAAACCAAAUGAAAUUAUAAUAUGCUUUACACACACCAAAACCCCAAUUAUAUAACUGUUACCAAUCCUCUAGAGAAUGAGAAAACUAUGUGAGGUCAUUCUCAUCCAAUGGCUCUUCUUCUUCAGCAGCAUCAGUUUUAAAUGCGCUAAGAUCUCCAGUAGGAAGUUUUCUUGCAAGCCUAAUAACCUGCAUCCAAAUUAGUUCAAAUCAAACAAAUGCAAUUAAAUCACUCCCAAGUAAAUGUUUAACAGUGGUAAUUUAUCAUCAUCAGAUGGCAUCCGAAUACCUAUAAAUGCUGUCUGAUCUAGGGCAAGUCAGACACAUUAUAAGCAAGACACCAAUGGUUACAAGUUAAUAAGUUGUGGUGAAGUCCAUAACAGCAUUAACUAAAAGGGAACUUUGAAUUGUUUUGAUUUCCCCUGCGAGAAACAAGUUAUGAAGUGAAACAAAUCAUGAGGUAUUAGGUAGCGUGUGCAGCUGCAAGUUUCCCCAAUCAUAUCAAAUACAGCCAAGGGAGUAAGGGCAUUUUCUCAUAUUGUCCAGAGAUUUUUUUCCAGGGAUUGAAGUCGUCUGGUCCCUGAAGGAAGUUUUCUCUAUAUGUAGUAUGUAUUAUGGGACAUUACAUUAUGAAUUCUCAGAUAAAGGACAAGAAAAUAAGUCUUUGAAUACUCCCAAUGAAGAGAAACACCAGUUAGAUUAUAUAAAUGGUCAACUUCAUGACCAACGUGGGUUCCAAUGUCCAGCAGUCUGCUUUAUUUGUGGAUACAUGGUCACGCACAAACAUAUGUAUCAACACAUAUAUGCAUGCAAUGAUUGUAAGGUGGCAAAAAUAACGUGGCAUGCAGCAUAGAUUGCUAUCAAAAUUAUACAUAGAAGAAACAUGAAUAUUGCUUGACUAGGAAGGAAGAAUAAAAUAAACUUGUACCAUUGUGGUUCAGAAGCUAUUGACCUAAAAAUAGCUAGCUGGAGUUCACUUGCUAUAGAAGUAUACCAGUUUUGAUUUUAGCUUCUGUUGCACGAAAUGAUAGUCUAUUUAAUAUAUGUUUGUCUGGUUAUAGUAUCUAUGGUUGACUGUGAGCAAUAAAGGUGUGCACGGCUCAUGGGGAUCCCAAACCGAACUUAUUUUACUGUUUUAGUUUAGCUCUGAUUCUUUACUAAGCACUAAUACCGAACCAAGAACCAAUUUUUUACAUAUGUUUUUCUAUGAUCGUCUUAGAUGGACAUUUUCAAUAUAAUUAUGGACUAUAUACAACUUAAUAUUAUUUUUCAUUUCUCACCUUUCGCACACACCUCCACACAGUCCUCGCAAUUGUAUCAGCACACCUGCAAGAAACCUCGCGGGCAACCAUGACGCCUGGCUCUUGCUGCUGUGGGUUGUGGAAUAGGAAGAGAAACGCUAAUCGCCAUCCCGCUGCAGAGAACAUAGAAGAAAGUGCUAUUUCAAUUGAAGCAGCUGCCAGAACAGAAAAAGAGAACGCAGAGGAAAGUGCUAUUCUAAUUGAGGCGGCUGUGAACACAAAAAAAGGUAUUUUUGUAUGAGGAUAACAAAAGUAUCUUACAAAAUUUCAUCUUGCAUGCAUAUGAAUGAGGAAAAAAAUGUGUGGAAUUUAUGUUUGUUAAUCAAUCCCAAAUCACAACAACAGUAUAAAAAGAGGGAAAGAGGAAGAAAUGUCCAAGAGCAAAGGGUGUGAAGUAAGAGUGGGGAAAAAAAAGAAUAAAUAAAAUAGUUUAAAAAAUGGGGGAAAAGUUCAGGCGAAGUUGGAAGAGCUCUGUCAUUGAGGAGACCAAUUGAUGGUGCGAAGCUGAUCUUCAUCAGAGCUAAAGAAAGUGAGGGUGAGAGAAGAAGAGCAGCUAAGAGGGUGAGAGAAAAUUGUGAGGAAAUAAAAUAAAAAAUAAAAAACUAUUGAAAGAUGUAAUUAACAAGAAAAGUAGUUAAUAAUAUUAAUUAUGUUGAAAAUGAUAUGUUUAUAGUUGAUUAAUAAAACAAUUAAUCCAGGUGUUCGCACGUUUUCUUUCGAUGAACUAGCAAAUGCAACAGGUAGUUUCUCCGGUGAAAAUAAAAUUGGCAGUGGUACUUUUGGUGAAGUUUUCAAAGGAAAACUUGGGAAUGAAACCGUUGCCAUUAAGAAGCUUAGAUCUCAGAAUAAAAAGGAGGAAGAGGAAUUUGCAAGAAGUCAAUUUAAGAAGGAGGCUGAAAUCCUUAGCGGUAUCGAUCCUCACAAAAAUAUUGUCAAGGUGCUAGGAUACUGCAGUGAUAAAGCCAAUAGAUUGCUUGUUUAUGAGUAUUUAGCCAAGAACUCAUUGUCUCCAUUUCAUGGAAAUUACAUUGCAACUUCCGAAUGGUCAACCAGAAUGAAAGUUGCCGAGGGUUUAGCAAAAGGAUUAGCAUAUUUACAU
Molecule: unclassified non-coding RNA, 2956 nt
Filed under: Hevea brasiliensis (rubber tree)
Lineage: Eukaryota; Viridiplantae; Streptophyta; Magnoliopsida; Malpighiales; Euphorbiaceae
Source: RNAcentral